Long non-coding RNA from Callithrix jacchus (white-tufted-ear marmoset), 1952 nucleotides. RefSeq lists it as uncharacterized. Lineage: Eukaryota; Metazoa; Chordata; Mammalia; Primates; Cebidae. The record is from RefSeq and is a predicted model, not a curated record.
CUCUUCUGACCUGAAGUGUUCUGGUGUUUCUAAGGCUAUCAUCAAUCUAAAUUGGUAAUAUUCUAUUCAGAGAAUAUCUUUACAUGAGGUCACUGUCAUCUUUGGCUUUGGAAUUCUAUAAUUCAUGAGGUAGUUGGGGAGGCAAGCAGUACAGAUAAGGAGGCUCCAGCCAUCAGAGAUAUCCCUCAAAACCAACGGGAGAAAAAAGGCAAGAGCAGAGAAUGGACAUGAUAAAUAUUUUAAUUACUAUAUGCCCUUCCUUCUUUCAUCCCACAACUAUAUAAGGUAUUGUGAAGCAAACACAGCAGAUGAGAGAAAGAGGGAAGGAGGAAGAGAGAGAGUGAAUAGGAAGAAACACAAGAAGUGGGGAACAAAACCAAGACUGCAUACAUUUUGGGAUACAUGAAAAGUGCUUGGGUUUUUUAUAUCAAUGAGUAUGAUAAGAACUACAAAAAAGAGCAGCCACUGGGAAUCAUUAAAGCGAGUGUUCCUCUGAACCUCUUGUGACACAGGCUUUCAGACAAUUGCCACAUCAACAUACCAGGGUUCCAUUUACGUCCUGACUCAGGUUCUUCAUCUCUCCCACGAUGAAAGCAACCAGUCUGAAGUAUUUUAUGGUCAUCAUAAAAGGACAAGUCACUGACUACACUAUACUUCUUGGGACACAGAACUGUAUCCUGGCUGAAAAGGUGAAGAAGCUUUCUCCAGCAGAAACACCAGGAAGCCUUCUUUAAUUUCCUUCACUGCAGAUCAUUGGCUUGGCCUCCCUAAGAGUAUCUGAGGCUGGAGAAGACUCUGAGCCCCACAAUCUAGAGAAAUUCAGAUAACUGAUUCUGUUUCAGUGACUACAUUUUUUAAAUACGUGGAAUACCCAGGAGUACCUUCAUUAAGCAAUAUGUACUAGAAGAAAGAGAAUUUCAAAAAGUCUCCUACAAUUGAACUUGAUUCUCCAUUGUUUUUUGAAACUCCCUUGGAAGCUUGAAUUUUCCUUAUUUGGCAAAUGAUCUGGUUUCCUCCUCAUUUAGAUGCUAAGGAUGGAAUUUUUAAAAAAAAUUAAUUGGUUCAUUGUUUUAUCACAAACACCAGUAGAAAAGUGAAGCAAAGCCAGACUAUAUAGUAAGGUGGCCACAGGGCUGCUGUACUGGCUCACACCUAUAGUCUCAGCACUUGGGGAGGCCAAGACAGGUGGAUCGCUGGAGCCCAGGAGUUCAACAUCAUCUUGGCCAACAUGGAGAAACUCCAUCUUGACAAAAAAAUACAAAAAUUAGCCAGGCAUGGUGGUGUGCACCUGUGGUCCCAGUUACUCGGGAGGCUGAGGCAGGAGAAUCGCUUGAUCCUGAGAAGUCAAGGCUGCAGUGCCGUGACCAUGCCAUUGCACUCCAGGCAGGCAAGACCCUGUCCCCACACCCCCACCCCCGCAAAAAGAGAUUAGUAAAUGACUGCUACCAUGGUAGCCCCAAAAGGUAGAUAGCUCUCCAUAGCUUUUUUUUUUUAACAACUGGUAAUCGUUUAUUAAAAAUAAUUGACUUAAGCAUCUGCAAUGGUGACUUCAACCUCAACUCCCGGCUCAAUAAUGAUAGAAGUAAUCUGCUUGACAAUUUCAGAAAGACUGUGCAAGUCAGUGAGUCACAUGUGGAUUCUCAUCUGGAAACAAUGCCAUGUCUCAGAACCUUCAUAAGAAAUUUUUCUUGUAAUGCUUCUCAAAGUUUCCGUAGGCAUGCAAACUGGUCCUUUCACUUUGAGAUUCUUUUCCUUUGCUCUACUGAUCAAGUCAGCACACACCUUCUCCAAGGAUUUUAAGUUGCAGCUCGUUAGAGUGAUUCUAAUUUGGCAAACUGCCACCUCUGGCUCCAAGGGCAUUUUUCUUUAUCUCCUGACCAAGCUGUUUCUUGGUGAGAGCCAACAACAGUGAGUCAGGAGCAAGAGCAGGCUCACCACAACUCCGCACCACC